GACGAACGCUGGCGGCGUGCCUAAUACAUGCAAGUUGAGCGAUGAAGAUUGGUGCUUGCACCAAUUUGAAGAGCAGCGAACGGGUGAGUAACGCGUGGGGAAUCUGCCUUUGAGUGGGGGACAACAUUUGGAAACGAAUGCUAAUACCGCAUAACAACUUUAAACAUAAGUUUUAAGUUUGAAAGAUGCAAUUGCAUCACUCAAAGAUGAUCCCGCGUUGUAUUAGCUAGUUGGUGAGGUAAGGGCUCACCAAGGCGAUGAUACAUAGCCGACCUGAGAGGGUGAUCGGCCACAUUGGGACUGAGACACGGCCCAAACUCCUACGGGAGGCAGCAGUAGGGAAUCUUCGGCAAUGGACGAAAGUCUGACCGAGCAACGCCGCGUGAGUGAAGAAGGUUUUCGGAUCGUAAAACUCUGUUGGUAGAGAAGAACGUUGGUGAGAGUGGAAAGCUCAUCAAGUGACGGUAACUACCCAGAAAGGGACGGCUAACUACGUG
This 497-nucleotide ribosomal RNA is filed under the name uncultured bacterium. RNAcentral describes it as "partial 16S ribosomal RNA". It matches the Rfam family "Bacterial small subunit ribosomal RNA", at positions 28 to 507 of the family's 1533-position model. The record is from RNAcentral.